UACGAAGGGUGCAAGCGUUACUCGGAAUUACUGGGCGUAAAGCGUGCGUAGGUGAUUUGUUAAGUCUGAUGUGAAAGCCCUGGGCUCAACCUGGGAAUUGCAUUGGAUACUGGCAGGCUAGAGUGCGGUAGAGGAUAGCGGAAUUCCCGGUGUAGCAGUGAAAUGCGUAGAGAUCGGGAGGAACACCUAUGGCGAAGGCAGCUCGCUGGGACGGUACUGACGCUGAGGCGCGAAAGCGUGGGGAGCGAACAGG
Molecule: ribosomal RNA, 253 nt
Filed under: uncultured bacterium
Lineage: Bacteria
Description: partial 16S ribosomal RNA
Rfam family: Bacterial small subunit ribosomal RNA
Source: RNAcentral